ACCGUACUCCUACGGGAGGCAGCAGUGGGGAAUAUUGGACAAUGGGCGCAAGCCUGAUCCAGCAAUGCCGCGUGGGUGAAGAAGGCCUUCGGGUUGUAAAGCCCUUUUGUACGGGAAGAAAUGCUGUUGGUUAAUACCCGGCGGGGAUGACGGUACCGUAAGAAUAAGCACCGGCUAACUUCGUGCCAGCAGCCGCGGUAAUACGAAGGGUGCAAGCGUUAAUCGGAAUUACUGGGCGUAAAGCGUGCGUAGGCGGUUGGCUAAGUCAGAUGUGAAAGCCCUGGGCUCAACCUGGGAAUGGCAUUUGAGACUGGCCGGCUAGAGUGUGAUAGAGGAGGGCAGAAUUCCAGGUGUAGCGGUGAAAUGCGUAGAGAUCGGGAGGAACACCCGUGGCGAAGGCGGCCAUCUGGAUCAACACUGACGCUGAGGCACGAAAGCGUGGGGAGCAAACAGGAUUAGAAACCCCUGUAGUCCUUGAC
Molecule: ribosomal RNA, 479 nt
Filed under: uncultured bacterium
Lineage: Bacteria
Description: bacterial SSU rRNA
Rfam family: Bacterial small subunit ribosomal RNA
Source: RNAcentral